GUUUGUCAUUGCGUUGGAAACAUUUGUCAUUUGUGAUAUUGUGGUUGUGAUUGAACCAAAAACUAACAUUAAUAAAUGUUACUUGUUCUUUUAUUGCAUUUAAGUAAAAAUAUUCUUAAUAUGCAAUCAUGUAUGAAAUCAAGUUAUAAAUAAUUAUCAUGUCAAGUUGAGCUCUUUUCUUUGGAUACACUGUAGAAAGUACAUAAAUAAGGUGCACCAUAAAUGUAUCUUAUUACUCAUCAAACCAGUUGACAAUGGAUGGGACAAAUGAAAAACUAUAAAGCAAAUUGGAGCAGAAAAGGUAUUGCAGUGAUUCAUUGAAAGAAAAAUUUUCUGAUGAAGUAGACACAAAUUGAGAUGAAGCUCAUUACCAUGUGCAUCACUAUCAGAAACUUGAAGAUCACCCGAAUGUUACAGUUGCACAGUGUUUUGCCAAACCAAAUUGUAGAAACUAAAUAAUAAAGAUCUCAAUUGAUAAUAUUCAAGCCUCAUAAAUUGUUUAUUGCAACAUAUCCCACAUUUCACUGUAGGCUAAUGAGAUGAAUUGGAGAUUCAAUUAUUGGAGCGACUACUAUUUGAUUCACAAAUUCUAGCACGAUAAUUAUAUGUGUAUCUACAUAAGUGUGCAUGUAUAUGUAUGAGUGAGGAAGUAUUUACUUGAAUGUUUUUUCUGAUUGCUGUUCACUAAUAAAUUAUUAUAAAAUAAGUGUAAAAGUUAUUAAAUCAGAUAACAUAUUAAGUACGAAACCAUAAAU
Molecule: long non-coding RNA, 755 nt
Organism: Ctenocephalides felis (cat flea)
Lineage: Eukaryota; Metazoa; Arthropoda; Insecta; Siphonaptera; Pulicidae
Exons: 3
Source: RefSeq, a predicted model, not a curated record